RNAcentral lists this transfer RNA (74 nucleotides) under Geotrichum candidum. RNAcentral's name for it is "transfer RNA-Asp (GTC)". It matches the Rfam family "tRNA". Rfam says of the family: Transfer RNA (tRNA) molecules are approximately 80 nucleotides in length. Their secondary structure includes four short double-helical elements and three loops (D, anti-codon, and T loops). Lineage: Eukaryota; Fungi; Ascomycota; Dipodascomycetes; Dipodascales; Dipodascaceae. The record is from RNAcentral.
UCGGCAAUAGUUUAGUGGCUAGAAUUUCCGCCUGUCAUACGCGGGGGACCGGGGUUCAAUUCCCCGUUGCCGAG